RNAcentral lists this transfer RNA (72 nucleotides) under Capra hircus (goat). It matches the Rfam family "tRNA". Rfam says of the family: Transfer RNA (tRNA) molecules are approximately 80 nucleotides in length. Their secondary structure includes four short double-helical elements and three loops (D, anti-codon, and T loops). The record is from Rfam by way of RNAcentral. Lineage: Eukaryota; Metazoa; Chordata; Mammalia; Artiodactyla; Bovidae. RNAcentral also lists the same sequence under 1 other name.
UCCCUGGUGGCUCAGAUGGUAAAGAAUCCACCUGCAAUGUGGGAGACCCAGGUUUGAUCCCUGGGUUGGGAA